AGGCUGCAACUCGCCUGUAUGAAGUCGGAAUUGCUAGUAAUCGCGGAUCAGCAUGCCGCGGUGAAUACGUUCCCGGGGAUUGUACACACCGCCCGUCACACCAUGAGAGUCGGGAACACCCAAAGUCCGUAGUCUAACCGCAAGGAGGACGCGGCCUAAGGUGGGUUCGAUAAUUGGGGUGAAGUCGUAACAAGGUAUC
RNAcentral lists this ribosomal RNA (199 nucleotides) under uncultured bacterium. RNAcentral describes it as "partial 16S ribosomal RNA". It matches the Rfam family "Bacterial small subunit ribosomal RNA", at positions 1302 to 1500 of the family's 1533-position model. The record is from RNAcentral.